GCGAGCUGUGACCGGCACCGGCGGGGCCGCCCCCCGCGAGGAACCGCAAGGCACGGCCGCCUCGGGCUACGUGCGGGACCCGCUGCCCGCCGACACCGGCGCUCGGCACGGCUCCGGAAGGCGCUCCCGGGCACGGGGCGCACCGUGCCGCAGAACACGCGCUUCGCUGACGAGAAGGGAUCAGGGGCCGCACGGAACAAAACGGGAAGGCUCUGUGAGGAGAUAUAACCAAGUUGGUAAAGUACUUUGGCUGAGAAUGCUGAAGACGCCAGCUGGGCACCUUCCUCCGGUUCUAACUACAGCACACACGAGGCGCCUGCCUGUGUUUUAUUGCUGCUGUUGCGGGAAUCAUAUACCUACAAAUGAAGCUGGAGCAGUACAGAGGAGCACAGGGAAAGAUACAGAUGCCCAGAUGCUUCAGGAUAGAACACGGGCCUGGGAAAAGGGCAGGCGUUUGGAAUGCUUUCUGCACAAGUUGAGAAAUGUUAUGGAUAAACUAAGUGAAGUUGAAUUACUUUGUUUGAUGCCGGUCCGGAGUAGGCUUCAGUAUAGAAAAUUGAGAUAUGCCCAGCUGCUCCUUCCUAUGCACGUUCACACAGACGUGUGUGAAAAAGAGACCGCUGUGCAUAAGCACGGUGGGAGGGAGAUGGGUCUGUUUGUCUUGCAAGAAUGAAUUCUUGCAGAUGAAUUGUAAUGAUACCACCCUUAUAAGUUCUCUAUAUUGCU
Molecule: long non-coding RNA, 726 nt
Filed under: Gallus gallus (chicken)
Lineage: Eukaryota; Metazoa; Chordata; Aves; Galliformes; Phasianidae
Description: long non-coding RNA NONGGAT008550
Source: RNAcentral